Molecule: long non-coding RNA, 818 nt
Organism: Mesocricetus auratus (golden hamster)
Lineage: Eukaryota; Metazoa; Chordata; Mammalia; Rodentia; Cricetidae
Exons: 3
Source: RefSeq, a predicted model, not a curated record
ACUGCCUCUUCAUCCUGUGGAUGAUACUUCUCAGUUGAGGGUUAAAAUUGAACCAGGAUUCCAAAGUGUUUACACAUGGCUGAGUUCUCUUGGGGUAGGGUGAGGGUACCCUGUGCUUUGGGAGCACUGGCUUUUUAUUCCUCAUGUUGACUCAGGCCCAUAAGUUGCAGAAAGUGAGCAUUUCCCUACAGGGUUCUACUUUUCCCCUGCCAGUAUCAUUUCAGACACAUCGUUUUCUGGAAAACACUGUGGUCCCAGGACCUCAUGGCAUUACAUGUCUUAAGCCAGGCAAGAAUUACAAAGUAGACAGCUGGGCACACCUGUGUGCAGGCUCUUGAAGUGGGAGCAUAGAUUAUUGAGCAAGACAUUUCCUCUUUUCUGAUGCAAAUAUCUCAGCACUAUAAAUUUACUGCUUGUCCUGUUUUAGCUACAUCCACAACCAACAAAUUUUGAGAAGAAUAACAGGAUGACCACAGUUGACCUGAGCUUCCUUGGCCUUUCAGAAUCAACAUGCCCGAAAGUACUAAUUCUACUUGAAGGGCCACAGACAUGGUCUUUCUAUUGGCAUCUUCCCUGCGGGACCCCGAAGACUCACCACACACUGGUCACAGAAGCCUCUGGAAGCAAGAAGAAUGCUGCAGCAGUUUCUAUUUUUUAUUUCUGCUUUGUGGGCUUAUCUAGAUCUGCAUUUUGCAUUCUGUUUUCAAAAUACCUUUAAGGGGAGUUUUUAAAAGAUCAUUUUUGCCUUGGGGCAAAAACAAGGAAAAUUGCUGUGGAAAACAUGCCCACAAAAUAGAUGUAUUGAGGCUUGCUCAGAA